RNAcentral lists this ribosomal RNA (489 nucleotides) under uncultured bacterium. RNAcentral describes it as "partial 16S ribosomal RNA". It matches the Rfam family "Bacterial small subunit ribosomal RNA", at positions 30 to 507 of the family's 1533-position model. The record is from RNAcentral.
UUGAACGCUGGCGGCAGGCCUAACACAUGCAAGUCGAACGGUAACAGGAAGCAGCUUGCUGCUUUGCUGACGAGUGGCGGACGGGUGAGUAAUGUCUGGGAAACUGCCUGAUGGAGGGGGAUAACUACUGGAAACGGUAGCUAAUACCGCAUAACGUCGCAAGACCAAAGAGGGGGACCUUCGGGCCUCUUGCCAUCGGAUGUGCCCAGAUGGGAUUAGCUAGUAGGUGGGGUAACGGCUCACCUAGGCGACGAUCCCUAGCUGGUCUGAGAGGAUGACCAGCCACACUGGAACUGAGACACGGUCCAGACUCCUACGGGAGGCAGCAGUGGGGAAUAUUGCACAAAGGGCGCAAGCCUGAUGCAGCCAUGCCGCGUGUAUGAAGAAGGCCUUCGGGUUGUAAAGUACUUUCAGCGGGGAGGAAGGGAGUAAAGUUAAUACCUUUGCUCAUUGACGUUACCCGCAGAAGAAGCACCGGCUAACUCCGUG